AUGACUUUGGGGACCCCCCUUAUCACCUUGGGGAGCCUCUUAUCAAUUUGGGGACCUGUCACCUUGGGACCUCCACCACCAUCUUGGGGACCCUCUUGUCACCUUGGGGAUCCCCUUAUCACUUUGGGGACCCCCUUAUCACUUUGGGGCCUCCCUUAUCCAUUUGGGGACCCCCUCAUGACUUUGGGGACCCCCUUAUUACCUUGGGGAGCCUCUUAUCACAUUGGGGACCCCCCUCCCACUUUGGAGACCCCCCAUAACUUUGGGGACCCCCUUAUCACCGUGGAGACCCCCUUAUUAAUUUGGGGACCCCGUUAUCACUUUGGGGACCCACCCAUGACUUUGGGGACCCCCUUAUCACCUUGGGGACCCCCCAUAACUUUGGGGACCCCCUUAUCCAUUUGGGGACCCCCCCAUGACUUUGGGGACCCCCCUUAUCACCUUGGGGAGCCUCUUAUCAAUUUGGGGACCCUCCUGUCACCUUGGGGGCCCCCUUAUCACUUUGGGGACCCCCUUAUCACUUUGGGGCCCUCCUUAUCCAUUCGGGGACCCCCCCCACGAUUUUGGGGACCCCCUUAUCACCUUGGGGCCCCCCCCCCCAUGACCUCGAGGACCGCUCUGUCCCCUUGGGGACGCUGGUGUCACCGCACCGCUGCCAUUUAUUGCGCAACGUCAGAGCUGCCACUGGGACAAUGCCACGCGUCCCCAGUUGUCACCAAAUGUCACCGAGGUGGUGGCACUGGGACAAUGCCACGCGUCCCCAAUUGUCACCAAGGUGGUGGCACUGGCACAAUGCUAUACGUCCCCAAUUGUCACCCACUGGUGGCACUGGGACAAUGCCACGUGUCCCCAGUUGUCACCAAGGUGGUGGCAUUGGGACAAUGCCACGCGUCCCCAAUUGUCACCAACUGUCACUCAUUGGUGGCACUGGGACAAUGCCACAUGUCCCCAGUUGUCACUGAGGUGGUGGCACUGGGACAAUGCCACGUGUCCCCGGUUGUCCCCAACUGUCACUCAAUGGUGGCACUGAGACAAUGCCACGUGUCCCCAACUGUCCCCAAUUGUCACACAAUGGUGGCACUGGCACAAUGCCACGUGUCCCCAGUUGUCCCCAAAUGUCACACAAUGGUGGCACUGGGACAAUGCCACGUGUCCCCACUUGUCCCCAAGGUGGUGGCACCGGGACAAUGCCACAUGUCCCCACUUGUCCCUCCCAGCGGUGUCCCCCGUUGUCCCCAUUGCCACCGGGACGCAGCCGUGUCCCCGCGGUGUCCCCACGUCCUCAGGGCGUCUGUCCCCACGGCGUUGUCCCCUCGGUGUCCCCACGGCGGUGUCCCGCUGCGCCCGCUCCUCCUGGAUGCGCAGCACCCGCUGCUUCAGCGCUGCCAUCUCGCGCCGCUGGGGACAGGGGACAAACAGACACGGGGUGAGGGGACAAAGGGACAGGGGACAAAGGGACGCAGGGUGAGGGGACAAAGGGACAGGGGACACACGGAUGCGGGGUGA
This 1506-nucleotide long non-coding RNA is filed under the name Numida meleagris (helmeted guineafowl). RNAcentral's name for it is "lncRNA (ENSNMEG00000001267.1)". The record is from RNAcentral. Lineage: Eukaryota; Metazoa; Chordata; Aves; Galliformes; Numididae.